GAUGAACGCUGGCGGCGUGCCUAAUACAUGCAAGUCGAGCGAACGGACGAGAAGCUUGCUUCUCUGAUGUUAGCGGCGGACGGGUGAGUAACACGUGGAUAACCUACCUAUAAGACUGGGAUAACUUCGGGAAACCGGAGCUAAUACCGGAUGAUAUUUUGAACCGCAUGGUUCAAAAGUGAAAGACGGUCUUGCUGUCACUUAUAGAUGGAUCCGCGCUGCAUUAGCUAGUUGGUAAGGUAACGGCUUACCAAGGCAACGAUGCAUAGCCGACCUGAGAGGUUGAUCGGCCACACUGGAACUGAGACACGGUCCAGACUCCUACGGGAGGCAGCAGUAGGGAAUCUUCCGCAAUGGGCGAAAGCCUGACGGAGCAACGCCGCGUGAGUGAUGAAGGUCUUCGGAUCGUAAAACUCUGUUAUUAGGGAAGAACAUAUGUGUAAGAAACUGUGCACAUCUUGACGGUACCUAAUCAGAAAGCCACGGCUAACUACGUG
Molecule: ribosomal RNA, 497 nt
Filed under: uncultured bacterium
Lineage: Bacteria
Description: partial 16S ribosomal RNA
Rfam family: Bacterial small subunit ribosomal RNA
Source: RNAcentral